Molecule: ribosomal RNA, 393 nt
Filed under: uncultured bacterium
Lineage: Bacteria
Description: partial 16S ribosomal RNA
Rfam family: Bacterial small subunit ribosomal RNA
Source: RNAcentral
AUACGGAAGGUCCGGGCGUUAUCCGGAUUUAUUGGGUUUAAAGGGAGCGCAGGCGGAGAUGCAAGCGUGACGUCAAAUUUCGGGGCUCAACCCCGUCUCGCGUCGCGAACUGCGUCCCUUGGUUGCGGGAAGGGGAGGCGGAACUCGUGGUGUAGCGGUGAAAUGCAUAGAUAUCACGAAGAACUCCGAUCGCGAAGGCAGCCUUCCGGCCCGUCAACGACGCUCAUGCUCGAAGGUGAGGGUAUCAAACAGGAUUAGAUACCCUGGUAGUCCGCACAGUAAACGAUGGACACCCGCGGUUUGGCCUGUAUGGCUGAGCCGCCAAGCGAAAGCGUUAAGUGUCCCACCUGGGGAGUACGCCGGCAACGGUGAAACUUAAAGGAAUUGACGGGG